AAAACUUGUAUUCUAUUUCACUCAGUCACUGUCUUCUCUCUCUCUUUAAACCCUUUCUCUCGCUCUCACUGUCGCAUCUCCCUCUAAACCCUAGAAAUUGAUGGUGACGAUUACAGUGAUUAUAUUGGAGGUGUCUGUCUCUCACUCUCACGGUUUUUAUGCACCUUAUUCUCAUCCUUGGCUCUUCUUGCUGAAUCUUUGCUUGUUGAGUCCGCUGAGGAACACUCGUCUCUUAUAGCUAGUCAGCGGAAUAAAAAUUGGUGUCCUGUUCCUGAAAUUCUUCUCAAUAGAAGUUUCUUUGCACUUGAUAAGCUAAACUUACUUAAGGUAGAAGCUAAGAAGGUCAGGGUUUUAGCAUAGUUCUUCAUGAGAAAUUGCAGACAGGAGAAUGGAAUGUGAACAGGUACAUGUAUUUUCUACUUCAACCGCGAGAUACACAUAGUUGUUUCUUAAUGACAUGUUCACAGGUGUGUAUGCACGUAUAAUGCACACAUUCACUCGUAUACAAUAUCUCUAUGGGUAAACAACAUAUGUAAUUAGUUAUGCUUAAUUAUAACUUCCCAAGUCAUAUGAGGAACUAAGUGAUGAUUAUUAUAGAUCUGCGCAAUCUCCUCUGAAGCUUGUUACUAGAUUUCCUGAUCAUCCUAAAAUUAGGACAGUACACAGUAUCUUUGUGUAAGAAUCUUGUCUACAGCUUCUUACUUUUAAUUGUUUUAAAUAUAAAAUAGAGUUAGGACCAUACCUUGUAUGCUACACUUUGAGAUACUGCAUACAUAAUUUAACUUACCGUGCCAUUUACUUGCAUAAAUUUGUUUUUUAAUUUCUUUUCUAUACUUGGUGUGCAGUGUAGUAAUGAUUACUAUGAUAAUAGUAUCUCAUUGCACAUUAUAUACACUCUUAUUUGAUUGUACAGGGUAUUGCAUAGCAGUACUAUGUGCAAAGAAGCUUUUAUUUGGCUUAGAUGAGUAUCUGCUUCGAAUACUGAAUUAUGGAUAUUGUUAAUUCCGGAUUAAUUUAUGCUUUAGUGCUUUAUGUGUGUUGUACCUUAUGCUGUUUUGAUUGUACUGGAUAUUGUGUAAUGGUGCGAUCUCCAGAGUGGCUUUUGUUUGUGCCAAAUGAUGAGUGUCUGCUUCAUGUGAUGUACCUUAUGUUUUUUUAUUGUACCAGAAAUUCCGUAGUAGUGUUAUCUUCGGGCUUCACGUGUUGUACUUUCUGCUGUUUUAAUUAUACCAGAAGUUGCUUAGAUAUUGUAUAAUUGAUAAAAUAGGGUACUAAACUCUAGAGCAGCUUUCGUCUGGCUGAAUGAGUAUCUGCUUAAUGUGUUGUACAUUCUACAGUUCUAGUUGUACAAAAUAUUGUAUUGUAGUGUUAGUUGUAGAGCGGCUUUCGUGUCUGGGCCAGAUGAGUGUUUACUUUAUGUGUUGUACCUUCUAUUGUUGGAAGUUGUAGAUUAAUGACAAGUAUUUAGAACUGUAUUCAGUCAGUUUUAUUUUCUGCAAGAUACAUAUACAGUUGUAUUAACUUAUCUCAGGUGGAUGUGAUGUCUGUUUUGUUUAAAA
Molecule: long non-coding RNA, 1559 nt
Organism: Capsicum annuum
Lineage: Eukaryota; Viridiplantae; Streptophyta; Magnoliopsida; Solanales; Solanaceae
Exons: 3
Source: RefSeq, a predicted model, not a curated record